UACGUAGGGUGCAAGCGUUGUCCGGAAUUAUUGGGCGUAAAGAGCUCGUAGGCGGUUCGUCGCGUCGGCUGUGAAAACCCGGGGCUCAACCCCGGGCCUGCAGUCGAUACGGGCAAACUAGAGUGUGGUAGGGGAGACUGGAAUUCCUGGUGUAGCGGUGAAAUGCGCAGAUAUCAGGAGGAACACCGGUGGCGAAGGCGGGUCUCUGGGCCAUAACUGACGCUGAGGAGCGAAAGCGUGGGGAGCGAACAGG
RNAcentral lists this ribosomal RNA (253 nucleotides) under uncultured bacterium. RNAcentral's name for it is "partial 16S ribosomal RNA". It matches the Rfam family "Bacterial small subunit ribosomal RNA", at positions 524 to 776 of the family's 1533-position model. The record is from RNAcentral.